AUAUAAAGGAGCGGGUAUCAAGCACACAUAUAAGCAGCUCACGACACCUUGCUUAGCCACGCCCCCACGGGAAACAGCAGUGAUAAAAAUUAAGCUAUGAACGAAAGUUUGACUUAGUCAUGCAAUAUAAUAAGGGUUGGUAAAUUUCGUGCCAGCCACCGCGGUCAUACGAUUAACCCAAAUUAAUAAACCACCGGCGUAAAGAGUGUUUAAGAGUAUAACAAAACUAGGAUUAAAUUCUGUCUCUGUUGUAAAAAACCACAGACAGAUGUAAACCCAAUAAACGCAAGUAAUCUUAUUAUAUCUGAACACACGACAGCUCAGACCCAAACUGGGAUUAGAUACCCCACUAUGCUAAGCUAUAAACACAGAACAUUAAACAAAACAAAAUGUUUCGCCAGAGAACUACUAGCCACGGCUAAAAACUCAAAGGACUUGGCGGGUCUUCACACCCACCUAGAGGAGCCUGUUCUAUAAUCGAUAUUCCCCGAUAAACCUUACCACUUUUUGCUAAUACAGUCUAUAUACCGCCAUCUUCAGCAAACCUUUAUAAAGAAUAAAAGUAAGCACAAUAAUAAUCGUAAAAACGUUAGGUCAAGGUGUAGCUAAUAAAGUGGAGAGAAAUGGGCUACAUUUUCUUUAUAAAGAACACUUAAACGGAAACUAUUAUGAAAUUUGAUAGUGUAAGGAGGAUUUAGUAGUAAACCAAGAAUAGAGAGCUUGGUU
RNAcentral lists this ribosomal RNA (726 nucleotides) under Bathyergus suillus (Cape dune mole-rat). RNAcentral describes it as "partial 12S ribosomal RNA". It matches the Rfam family "Bacterial small subunit ribosomal RNA", at positions 322 to 1363 of the family's 1533-position model. Lineage: Eukaryota; Metazoa; Chordata; Mammalia; Rodentia; Bathyergidae. The record is from RNAcentral.